UACGUAGGGGGCAAGCGUUGUCCGGAUUUAUUGGGCGUAAAGAGCGUGUAGGCGGCCAGAUAGGUCUGUUGUGAAAACUCGAGGCUCAACCUCGAGACGCCGAUGGAAACCAUUUGGCUAGAGUCCGGAAGAGGAGAGUGGAAUUCCUGGUGUAGCGGUGAAAUGCGCAGAUAUCAGGAGGAACACCGAUGGCGAAGGCAGGUCUCUGGGCUGUAACUGACGCUGAGGAGCGAAAGCAUGGGGAGCGAACAGG
Molecule: ribosomal RNA, 253 nt
Filed under: uncultured bacterium
Lineage: Bacteria
Description: partial 16S ribosomal RNA
Rfam family: Bacterial small subunit ribosomal RNA
Source: RNAcentral